UCACAUGGUCAAUGCUCAAUCUGCUCUCUGCUCAAUCACAUGGUCACCCACUGAAGAUAAGGAGGGCUGUGCCAGGUUCGUACCUGGAUGAGAGACCACUUGGGAAAGCUAGGUUGCUGCCGGAU
This 125-nucleotide ribosomal RNA is filed under the name Danio rerio (zebrafish). The record is from RNAcentral. Lineage: Eukaryota; Metazoa; Chordata; Actinopteri; Cypriniformes; Danionidae.